This 1640-nucleotide ribosomal RNA is filed under the name Chroomonas mesostigmatica. Its description in RNAcentral is "eukaryotic LSU rRNA". The stretch from base 747 to 1640 matches the Rfam family "Eukaryotic large subunit ribosomal RNA", at positions 1 to 840 of the family's 3401-position model. Lineage: Eukaryota; Cryptophyceae; Pyrenomonadales; Chroomonadaceae. The record is from RNAcentral.
GUCGUAACAAGGUUUCCGUAGGUGAACCUGCGGAAGGAUCAUUGACACCCGAUCCAUACCAACCCAUGCGAACAAAGCCCGUCGGGGGCGCGAAGCAGCGAGGGGUUUUCGGACCCGCGUAGCUGUGGAGCGACCUCUUUAUAUAUAAUUUCCAAACCACUCGAUCUCCAUCGAAAGCAUCUGAAUGCGGCGUUACGUGAGAGCGUAGGCCAAAACUAGAACCCAAGAACAACUCUUAACAAUGGAUGUCUUGGUUCUCGCAACGAUGAAGAACGCAGCGAAAUGCGAUACGUAGUGUGAAUUGCAGGGCUCAGUGAAUCAUCGAAACUUUGAACGCAUAUUGCGCUUGUUGGCAACUUCAAGCACGUCUGUCUCAGGAACGGUACCCAAAAACCUCAACCACCACACACACACAUGGCACAAGCUGUGUGUAUGCGCGGGGGGUUUGGAGAGUGAGCGUCAUGGGGCUGAUCUGGUGCCGAUCCGUAACCGGAUUGGGCCGAAGCCGCACGUCGGUCGAAAUAGAAGGCGCGGUAGCUCUGAGCCGAAGGGCCUAGUGAUGGCGAGCCGUGAUGUGCCAGCCUUCCCUGACGGGAGGAGCGGCAUCACCGUGAGCCGGUAGGCGCCCGAUUCUAAGGAGGCUGCAGGGGAGCUAGCGGCGAAAAGGAAAGAGGAAAAGCCGGAAGUAGCCUUUUGUGAAUCACGCGUUGAGUGUGAGGAAGGAGGGUGAAGGCAUUUUCUGGACUCGUUCUGAGAUCAGUCGAGAUUACCCGCUGAACUUAAGCAUAUCACUAAGCGGAGGAAAAGAAACUAACCAGGAUUCCCCUAGUAAUGGCGAAUGAACAGGGAAGAGCUCAAGCUUGAAUCUUCGGAAUUGUAGUCUAUAGUUGAUCACUCGUACAGACCCGGGUAUAAAUCCGUUCUUGGAACUGGGUGCCAGAGAGGGCUAGAGCCCCGUCUUUGACUCGGUGUAUGUGCGUGGCGAGUGUUUAACGGAGAGUCGGCUUGCUUGGGAAUGCAGGUCAAAAUGGGUGGUAAACUUCAUCUAAAGCUAAAUAUUGGCGAGAGACCGAUAGCGAACAAGUACUGUGAAGGAAAGAUGGAAAGCACUUUGAAAAGAGAGUGAAAAAGGGCCUGAAAUUGUUAAGAGGAUAAGUGGUUGGAGCAUAUCAUAUCGCGCGGGAUCAAUGCGGCCCCUGGGCCGCGGACAUGCCGUGCGGUUGGUCAGCAUCUAUUCGUGGCGGGGGAGAAGCCUUAGCCUGAUGGCUCCGGCCUGACGGAUGAGAGAAACCCUGUUGUGGAUAGAGGCACAAAGGGCGCGCCUAGCGGCCGGCCCUCCGUGCUUGGUAUUGCAGGUGGACAAUCCUUCUGGCAUUUAAACCUGUGGUGGCUUGACGCGGGGGAGCGCUGGACCGGCGUCCUAAAGAUGCUGGCACAAAUGGCUUCAACCAGCCCGUCUUGAAACACGGACCAAGGAGUCUAACACAUAUGCGAGUAGUAAGGUGGCAAACCUUGGAUGCGCAAUGAAAGUAACGUGGUGGGAUUCUUCGGAUGCACCAUCAACCGACUCGGAGCAUUUUGUGAUGGGUUUGAGUAAGAGCAUAUAUGUUGGGACCCGAAAGAUGGUGAACUAUGCGUGA